This 259-nucleotide ribosomal RNA is filed under the name uncultured Actinomycetales bacterium. RNAcentral's name for it is "partial 16S ribosomal RNA". It matches the Rfam family "Bacterial small subunit ribosomal RNA", at positions 505 to 762 of the family's 1533-position model. Lineage: Bacteria; Bacillati; Actinomycetota; Actinomycetes; Actinomycetales. The record is from RNAcentral.
GUGCCAGCAGCCGCGGUAAUACGUAGGGUGCGAGCGUUGUCCGGAAUUACUGGGCGUAAAGGGCUCGUAGGUGGUUUGUCGCGUCGUCUGUGAAAUUCCGGGGCUUAACUCCGGGCGUGCAGGCGAUACGGGCAUAACUUGAGUACUGUAGGGGUAACUGGAAUUCCUGGUGUAGCGGUGAAAUGCGCAGAUAUCAGGAGGAACACCGAUGGCGAAGGCAGGUUACUGGGCAGUUACUGACGCUGAGGAGCGAAAGCAU